CUUCGACGAGUCGAGUAGUUUGGGAAUGCUGCUCAAAAUGGGAGGUAAAUUUCUUCUAAAGCUAAAUACCGGCCAGAGACCGAUAGCGCACAAGUAGAGUGAUCGAAAGAUGAAAAGCACUUUGAAAAGAGGGUUAAAAAGUACGUGAAAUUGUUGAAAGGGAAGCGCCUGUGACCAGACUUGCGCCCCGCGGACCACCCGGCGUUCUCGCCGGUGCACUCUGCGGUGCGCAGGCCAGCAUCGGUUCUCCCAGGGGGACAAAGGCCGCGGGAACGUAGCUCCUUCGGGAGUGUUAUAGCCCGCGGCGGCAUGCCCCUGGGGGGACCGAGGACCGCGCUUCGGCAAGGAUGCUGGCGUAAUGGUCACCAGCGACCCGUCUUGAACCACGGAC
RNAcentral lists this ribosomal RNA (391 nucleotides) under Sporothrix schenckii. Its description in RNAcentral is "partial large subunit ribosomal RNA". It matches the Rfam family "Eukaryotic large subunit ribosomal RNA", at positions 255 to 666 of the family's 3401-position model. Lineage: Eukaryota; Fungi; Ascomycota; Sordariomycetes; Ophiostomatales; Ophiostomataceae. The record is from RNAcentral.